RNAcentral lists this ribosomal RNA (249 nucleotides) under Bacillus thuringiensis. RNAcentral's name for it is "partial 16S ribosomal RNA". It matches the Rfam family "Bacterial small subunit ribosomal RNA", at positions 1 to 237 of the family's 1533-position model. Lineage: Bacteria; Bacillati; Bacillota; Bacilli; Caryophanales; Bacillaceae. The record is from RNAcentral.
UUUAUUGGAGAGUUUGAUCCUGGCUCAGGAUGAACGCUGGCGGCGUGCCUAAUACAUGCAAGUCGAGCGAAUGGAUUGAGAGCUUGCUCUCAAGAAGUUAGCGGCGGACGGGUGAGUAACACGUGGGUAACCUGCCCAUAAGACUGGGAUAACUCCGGGAAACCGGGGCUAAUACCGGAUAACAUUUUGAACUGCAUGGUUCGAAAUUGAAAGGCGGCUUCGGCUGUCACUUAUGGAUGGACCCGCGUC